AGUCUGCGCGGCGCGGCCAGGCCCGGCCGACCGCGUCUCGGUCUCCGCGUCUGCCAGCCUGGCUGGCAGUCCGUCUGUCCAUCCCGCCGCGCCGGGGCAGUCUAGGCGGAGCGGGGGCUUAGGCGGCGGCGGCCUCGACACGAAUGAGUGUCGUGGUUGGGGUGCUGGACCCAGAGUGCCUACCCUCGCCUGCCUGGGCCUCAGUUUCCACAUCUGCACAAUGGGGGUGACCAUCCCUGCCCUGCUGGCUGCCAGGAGCGGCUGUGAGUCUUCAGGCGUGGAUGCAGCCUGGGGGAAGCCAUAGGGCGCUUUCACAGGCCUGGCCUUCACCAUGGCGGGAGGGAGACCGCAUCUGAAGAGGAGUUUCUCCAUCAUCCCCUGCUUUGUCUUCGUGGAGCUGGAGUCCUGACCUCUCUCUUCUCUCUCCGCCACCUCUCCCCGCCCUGGCUUGGUGGCAGUCGGUGCUGCUGGGCAUUGUGAUCCUGCUUGCUUACCGCCUGGAGUUCACGGACACCUUCCCUGUGCACACCCAGGGAUUCUUCUGCUAUGACAGUACCUACGCCAAGCCCUACCCAGGGCCUGAGGCUGCCAGCCGAGUGCCUCCUGCUCUUGUCUAUGCACUGGUCACUGCCGGG
RNAcentral lists this small RNA (635 nucleotides) under Pan troglodytes (chimpanzee). RNAcentral's name for it is "processed transcript". The record is from RNAcentral. Lineage: Eukaryota; Metazoa; Chordata; Mammalia; Primates; Hominidae.